AAGCUCAAGAAUGGGGCAUUGCGCUGUGCCUUCUUACCACUGCCCUGCUUCUUUGAGUCUCCAGCUGGAAGAGUGGAGACUUUUUCUACAUUGGGACUUGGGCUCGUGAGAUCAUCUAAAAUAGCUGUGCUGGGAUGGUGAUUACUGGAAUAAGGAACAGGUGGGUGAUUAAAAACAAGCUGCAGCUGGGAAGGAGCCAAGGAUCUCAGGGAAACUGAGGAAAAUAAGUGGAGAAAUGAUGCAAGGCCAGCACAGAGAUCAGAAGAAAACCCCUUCCAUACCAUCUCAUCAGCGCUGCCUGCAAAGUGAUGCAAGUGUUAAGGAAUGA
Long non-coding RNA from Fundulus heteroclitus (mummichog), 328 nucleotides. RefSeq lists it as uncharacterized. The record is from RefSeq and is a predicted model, not a curated record. The transcript has 3 exons. NCBI's taxonomy places the organism in Eukaryota, Metazoa, Chordata, Actinopteri, Cyprinodontiformes, Fundulidae.